This 253-nucleotide ribosomal RNA is filed under the name uncultured bacterium. RNAcentral describes it as "partial 16S ribosomal RNA". It matches the Rfam family "Bacterial small subunit ribosomal RNA", at positions 524 to 776 of the family's 1533-position model. The record is from RNAcentral.
UACGAAGGGGGCUAGCGUUGUUCGGAAUCACUGGGCGUAAAGCGCACGUAGGCGGAUCUUUAAGUCAGGGGUGAAAUCCCGAGGCUCAACCUCGGAACUGCCUUUGAUACUGGGUAUCUCGAGUCCGAGAGAGGUGAGUGGAAUUCCGAGUGUAGAGGUGAAAUUCGUAGAUAUUCGGAGGAACACCAGUGGCGAAGGCGGCUCACUGGCUCGGUACUGACGCUGAGGUGCGAAAGCGUGGGGAGCAAACAGG